GUGGUGAGCACGACUGCACAUACCACACUAGUCAUCAGGAUCUAAUACACUCAGCUGCUCAAAAUACAUGAUUUCGUCAUGCUAAUGGCAGGCCUGUUCAGCCCAGGCUAGUAAUCAAUACCCCGUAUUUAAGGCCUGCUAAGAGAUCAAACAUAAAAUGCUCUAAAUCACGACAUCGCCCUUCCCUUUGCUCAGUUUCUCCCUUUGAGCGAUCAAACAGCUUGGAAUCCUUUGACUAUAUCUUAAAGUUUGGGCUUCCCUGGUGGCUCAGAUGGUAAAGAAUCUGCCUGCAAUGCAGGAGACCCGAGUUCAAUCCCUAGGUUGGGGAAGAUCCCCUGGAAAAGGAAAUGGCACCCCACUCUAGGAUUCUCACCUGGGAAAUCCCAUGGACAGAAGAGCCUGGUGGGCUAUAGUCCGUGGUGUCGCAAAGAGUCGGGCAUGACUGAGUGACUAAGCAUGACUUGCACGCAUCUUAGUGUCUGAGUUGUAAAUAUAUAACACUUAAUUUCUUGUAAGUUUUAAUUUUUUUUUAAAUGAAGGGGAAUACUCUGCAAAUAUAGAAGUAAUAGAUUUUCGUUGCUAAAAGUUUAGGACCUAAGCACUAAAAGGAAUAAACUGUGUUACCCUUCCACCUUCCUGAGGUUGAGAAUUGCAGUGUCAGGGGAGACACACACACACACACACACACACACACACGCGCGCACACACACACACACACACAUGCCACUGAAUUAAAACAAACGAAACAGCCCAUUUUAAAGGAAUUUGUACUCCUCCGAUUAUGACAAAGAUGGGACGCUUUUGCACUGGAUAUUGCAAAUUGUAUGUGUUUAUUUUCCUAUAUUUCCCUGUUCUUCUCUGUGUAGGGCUGUGUAGAAGUGAACACAGGAUGUUCACAUCUGUGAAGGCAACAGAAACGUCAUUCCAAAUUGCAAUGGAGACAGAGAGCAUCCGGUCGGCUUCAUGGCCGGAAGGCCCUCGGAUAGCAAGGCUGGAGUGUGGGAAAUGCUGUCUCCUCACAGGAUGGAUGCCGUCAGGUUUGUGUUGUGCUUUAAACCCUGUAAUGUUUGGUGAAAUGCGGCAGAUUUGGGCUCCUGAAGUUAGAACGCUGGAUCGCUCAGUCGUGUCCGACUCUUUGCAACCCCCCUGCACCGUAGGCCACCAGGCUCCCCCGUCCAUGGGACUCUCCCGGCAAGAAUACUGGAGUGGGUUGCCAUUUCCUCCUCCAGAGUUGGAAUUAGAAUGGAGAAAACUGAAACGUCCCUGGCGGUCCAGUGGGUUAAGACGUUGCCUUCCAGUGCAGGAGUGGCCGGUUCCGGUCUUGAUCAGGGAGCUAAGAUCACACUUGCCUUGCAGCUGAAAACAACAACAACAACACACAAAAAAAACAAACCAAAGUAUAAAACAGAAGAAGUAUUGUAACAAAUUCAAUAAAGAAUUUUAAAAUGGUCCA
This is a long non-coding RNA of Bos indicus x Bos taurus (hybrid cattle), 1453 nucleotides long. The record is from Ensembl. Lineage: Eukaryota; Metazoa; Chordata; Mammalia; Artiodactyla; Bovidae.